UACGUAGGGUGCAAGCGUUGUCCGGAAUUAUUGGGCGUAAAGAGCUCGUAGGCGGCUCGGUAAGUCGGAUGUGAAACCUCCAGGCUCAACCUGGAGACGCCAUCUGAUACUGCCGUGGCUUGAGUCCGGUAGAGGAGCAGGGAAUUCCUGGUGUAGCGGUGAAAUGCGCAGAUAUCAGGAGGAACACCAGCGGCGAAGGCGACAUCCUGGACCGGUAUUGACGCUGAGGCGCGAAAGCCAGGGGAGCAAACGGG
Molecule: ribosomal RNA, 254 nt
Filed under: uncultured bacterium
Lineage: Bacteria
Description: partial 16S ribosomal RNA
Rfam family: Bacterial small subunit ribosomal RNA
Source: RNAcentral